Long non-coding RNA from Gorilla gorilla gorilla (western lowland gorilla), 5594 nucleotides. RefSeq lists it as uncharacterized. The transcript is spliced from 5 exons. NCBI's taxonomy places the organism in Eukaryota, Metazoa, Chordata, Mammalia, Primates, Hominidae. The record is from RefSeq and is a predicted model, not a curated record.
AAAUGGGAGUUUCCCUGCACAAGCUCUCUCUCUUUGCCUGCCACCAUCCAUGUAAGAUGUGACUUGCUUCUCCUUGCCUUCUGCCAUGAUUGUGAGGACUCCCCAGCCAUGUGGAACUGUACAGACAGUGCAAAGGUGGUGUGCCUAGUGAGCUUGGAUGUAUCAAACAGCUGUAAGAAAAUCUCUCCAACCUUCUCUGAAUAAAGGAGGAAUGUGGUGUUUAUUGAGGAACAGGCAACCCUUACAUUUGAAUAAAAGAUGCCAUAUAACUACUGUACCAGUCCUUUUGCUUUGGCUAUGAAAUCUGUUUGAGCUGAAUGAGGCAACACUGGUUAUUAAGGCUUAUUUCUAUGAUGGAGUAUUAUCCUUAAAUCUGAUGCCAUUUCCAGAGAACGUGCACAUAGUGGCCCUAAAGGCAUAGGAUAUUCUGAAGAGGUACCUUGUCCAUCUGAGUUAUCGGAAGUCAAGCCGUUAGGACUGUGCUCUUCUGAGCUCUGCCUGUAAAGCCCUGCAGACAACCUCCUCUCGGCAUGCUGCAGUCUCUCAUAGCCAGCUUGGUUGCAAAGGAACUCCAUCUGCUUUGCCAUCACCUUUUCAGGCUGCUACUGAAAGUGGACUCACAGAGGGCUGUGUUCCAGUGGACACGUUAUUCAUUCCGUCUAAGCAGAAGGAUUCCAACCUCACUUACUAACUAGCUGAAGAAACGUUUCCCUAGAGAUUUCAUUCCAAAUGGUAGGUUCCCUAAGGCACACCUAAGCUAGCAGGCGAUCUUUUUCUCCAUGUCCAUCUCAUAUAUUCUAGGAAUUAAAGUUCAAAAUCUGUUUUUUAAUGUUUAACAUACCCUGUAAGGAGGAACACUAUUUAAGGACAACAGAUUAUCUUGAUUACUUCUAUGCAAUGUGUAUACUGCUAUUUUUUUUUUUAAAUCAAAUAAGUAACUAACUAUCCUUUAAGGGGGAACAACCUACUACAUAAAUAAGAGCUUUCCAGGUAGAAAAAUCAGACAAGUCAAUGAAUUAUAACUUCAUUCCACCCAAGCCUUCAUGUAUAGAUCAGGAAAACACAGUAUUUAGGAACGAAAGAUCUUACUGAGCUUGAACAAAGCACUACUUGUAUUAGUGUACCCUAAUGCAUUAAUAGUGACAAGCAAAAAAAUGUUUCUCUUUCCUUUACAUGUCAAAUUAUUUUGAUGUUAUUUUAUUUUAUCUGCUCAACAUUACAUUUCUUUUUGUUCACUGUAAAAAUUAUGUUUUUAAGACGGAAAAAGCCAGCAAUCUGGCACGUAUGCUUAUUGUUAUAAAGGAUUUCAGAACGCUUAAAGAUUUGAAAAAAGAGAAAAACUUGUCUCAUUAGUUUGGGCCUUGUAAUUAGAAAUCUGUUACACUUUAAAAUGGGCUAAGCUUAAGUUUAUUUGUACGUUACUUAAAAACUUUUUUUCCUUUGUUUGAGACAAGGUUGUGCUCUGUUGCCCGGGCUGGAGUGCAGUGGUGCAGUGAUUCUCCCACCUCAGCCUCCUGAUUAGCUGGGACUACAGGCGCAUGCCAUCAUGCCUGGCUAAUUUUUGUAAGGAUGGGGUUUUGCCAUGUUGCCCAGGCUGGUCUCAAACUCCUGGACUCAAGCAAUCCACCUGCCUCAGCCUCCCAAAGUGCUGGGAUUACAGUCAUAAGCCACCAUGCUCAGCCUUGUGUAUUACUUUCUUUAAAUAGAAAAUAACAAGCUGAGAAUCACAAGAGAAAGACUCAAAUGAAAUGAGAAAAAGUAUGUUAAAAUAAUUCUAAAUUCUUUCUAGUUUUAUUUAUGAGGUCCUUUGUGUCAAUCACAUUCCCUAGACAAACUUAUUGUUCUCUAAACAUGCUUAGUAUUUUCUUACCUCUGUCUUUGCCCAUGCUAGUCUAUCUUUAUAAUGCCACCCCAAUCCCCUCCCCACAUCGCUACCUUUUGAAAUUCUACCCUUCUUUUAAAAACCCAGCUCAAAUUACACCUUCCCAAUAGUCUUCCCUGAUCUCUUCUCAUACCAGAAAUUCUCCCUCUCCCCAGAAGCCAUAUAGAAGGUAGACAUAAAGCACCAGUACUUGGUGAAAAGUUUUAAGGGAGUGGUAACUUUAUACAGCCAGUACUAUCUACCUCAUAACAGCUUCCAGAAAUAGUUCUGGUAUCUCAAAUUUGACUUAUAGUACAGCACAGACAAGGAUUCAUACCAAUACUAUAUAUUUUGCAAAGGAUUACACCAUCUACAUGUGUAGGUAUACAUACACACAAGACACACACACGUUCAAGAGAUACUGAUGACCUGCAAUACACAAGUGCUUUUUAAGAAAGAGGAACAGAACAAAAUUAAAAACAAACCAACAACAAAAAAGUGAGCCACUGUCCUAAAUUCAAAGGUGUAGUUACUACUUAUUUCUGGGAAACAAAAUCAAAAGUCUAGUGUCUAUAAAAGCAUUUAAAGAAGCCUGGGGCCGAUUGUCGCUUGUCUUAUUUAGGAAGGGUUAGAAGAGUUAUUCACAGGGAAAAGUAACACUGAUUAUCUUAAUUUUGAAUCCAGAGCUGUUCAAGUGGCUUUGUGACCUCCAGUAAACCAAUAAACUAACCAUAUAGAACUAUAACUCAAGUAUCUCUAGUGGAGUAUAUUUAAAGGAACAGAAAGGUCAUAUUUAAUGUUACAGCCCAACACUUUGUGCUUCUAAUAAGAAACUGAAAGCACUGUAAUGAAAUACAAGGCCUCUGAGAGGGUCAGAAAGACUUAACCAAUAAAACUCAUCAAGAAACAACUGCAGCUCAAACAGUCCAUGAGAUUCAUGAUCACAAAUUUCAAUAUUUAGUGACCUCUAAAGCUAGACAAGCGUGGCUUAAAUGUGAGCAGCCUGAAUCAUGAUCACACUUAGGGCCAAUGGUGAAAAAUAGAUAAAGACAUAUUUCUAGCCUAGCAACUGACUAAUUUUUUGGCCCCUGGGUAGUUUCUGUGCUUUCUUUCCUCUCAACCCUCCAAUGGCACAUGCCUUCUUAGCAGUUUCUAUGUUCACCUGCCUUUCCCUUUCAGUGGCAGUGAGUCAUUAACAGCCAAAUCCAGAAGGACCCUCUGUUACCCUGUUAUCUGGGGGAGCAAGAGAUAAAACAUCUCACUAGUUAUAUCAUCUUUCAAUGUAGCCUUUUAGAUAAUUUCAACAUUUUCUGAGUUAACCAUCUUAAACAUUAUUCCAGAGCUAACGGUGAGGUAGGUUACAAAUAUAAGUACUUUUUUGGGGGUAGAGGCAGGGUCUCCCCAUGUUGCCCAGGCUGGUCUCGACCUCCUGAGCUCAAGCAAUCCUUCUGUCUUGGCCUCCCGAAGUGUUGGGAUUACAGGUGUGAGCCACCAUACCCAGCCCACAUUUCUUUUUUUAAUGUGGCUUUUUGUUUUUGACAAAAUACUUCUCUUCUUGAGAACCACUGCUUUCGGAUAAAGUGUUUAUAAGUCAAAGAUGCUUAUCUGCAGCCAUUCAUUAUUUCAUUCUACAGAUUUUAUUAAGUGCCUAUUAGGUGCAAGGCUGUUACAAACUCUAAGUAUACAGCAGCAGAUUCACAGAUAAGAGACCUAUUCUCAUCUAAUGGGGCAGACUGAUAAUAAAUUUAAAACAAGUAUCUAACAGUUUCAAAUACUGGCGAAUGCUAUGAAAACAAACCAGGAGAAUAAGCCUGAGUGUGAUUUUGGGGAGAGGGUGCCCCUUUAGAAAGGGAGGCAGGGAAGUCAGGGGAAACUUGGCUGUGACUUGAAGCCAUCUAAAGAAACAGAAGUCUAGGUAGGGGGAAAACAGUGAGUGUUGAGGCAUAAAUGAGUUUGGCAUGUUCAGGAACAGAAAGUCAGUCAGUGCGGCUGGAACACAGUAAGAAUGGAGAGUGUGGCAGCAGACAAGGUAGGAGAUGCAAGCUACAGUCAGAUCAUGUGGGGUCUUAGAUCCUUUAAAAAAAAAGUUUAGAUUUUAUUCCAGGUACAGUGGAAAGCCACUGAAAGGAUUUAAGCAAGAAAGGGAUUUAUGUUUUUAUAAGAUAACUCUGGCUUUGAUAUGAAUAAAGGAUUACUGCCAUAUAAAUAGAUACUCUGUAGAUAUAACUGAUGACAGAAAUUUAGGGUGGUCAAGCAUAGGUUAUUUGCUUUAACUUGAAAUUAAAUAAUAGGAUGGCUAAGAGAACACUGACCUCUAUCCCCUGCCUAAAACAAAAAGAAAGGAAGGAGCCACCUGACCAGAUUUCCACUCUGCUGCAAACUAGACUUUUUAAAAAGUAUUUGUAAGAAACAAUAGUUCUGAAACCAUUCUAUAGUUCUGAGAGUCCUAAGUAUGUUUUUCUUAACUCCCACCUUACCACUUGCAAAUCUAAAAUCAAAAGAGCAGCCUCAACCGUGACACUCUAAAAGAGGCUUUAGUUACAGUAAAGUCUCUGUAAUUUAUAGCUACUAAAUUAUCAUUUCCCUUAGAUAGUUAAUAUAAAGAAACGAAAAGUUAGCUCCUCUGUAUUUGAUGACUAAUGAUGUAAAUACAACUAUAAAAGGAAUGGUUUAACCCAUGAAGUUUUAAAUCUGUAAGAAACACCGAUUGCAAAUCAACCUUUGAUAAAUUGACUGGACUAGUCACCACAGUUUUCUUUUAAGAAUUUCCUGGGACUAGGCAUGGUGGUUCACACCUGUAAUCCCAGAACUUUGGGAGGCCAAGGAGGGAGGAUCACUUGAGCCCAGGAGUUUGAGUGCAAGACCAGCCUGGGCAACAUAGCGAGACCACAUCUCUACAUGAAAAAAAAGUUUAAAAAAAUUUUCCUUGGUCUGCUAAUUCAAAUUACUGUAAAUAUUGUAUUUCAAGGUAACAAAAUUCUAUAUUUUUAAAAGAUUUAUUGAAAGCCAUUUUUCACUAGUUUAUGGGACCAUCUUUUUUGUCUGAACUAGUUAAGAUUUUGCUUGAUCUUAAAACAAAAGCAAACAUUAUCAGCAUAAGAAAAUGUAAUAUAUGACCAUACCUCCACUUUAAUUCUCUUUGGGGAUAAUUCAUCUCUUUCUCCACAUUUUGACCUAAGGGAAAGGGGAGAGAAAAAAAAAGAAAAACUUGAGAAAGUAACUGAUUUUAUUCCAAAGGCAUCUCAGCCUAUAACCUUCCACCAAAACAUAUACCCUGAAACUCCAACAACAGAAAUGACAUAUUCAUAAUGAACAUUAAAAUAAUGAAGAAAAGAUCUUUCAUCAUUUCCAAGUUAACACUAGGGGAAGGUAUAGAUACAAUUAUACAUUUUAAAAGGCCACUACCUAAGAACUCACCACCUCUGGCUUUGGUAUGAAAGCCACUCAAUAAUUUUUUUUUUUAAAGAUGGGGUCUCACUAUGUUCAACCCAGACUAGCCACAAACUCCUAGGCUCAAGUGAUCCUCCCACCUCAGCCUCCCAAAUUGCUGGGAUUACAGGCGUGAGCCACUGUGCCCAGCCUAGCACUUAAUAAAUAUUUAAUGAUCAUCACAUAAUGAAAAAAAAAUCAAGGAGGAUAUCCCUUUAUGGUUCAGUAGGAAUAAUUUAGGAUAAAAUGACUAAAAUGACCACUUAAGAUGUAUGUUUAUGGCUACAUGAGAUUAAAAUGCAUU